CUACAGCUUCUGCUGAGGCAAGUCAGCACUGUCCCUAGCUUCUGGUGUAACAACACCAAACAUCUCAUCAAACUUUUUCUGUACCCCCAUGUUUCCCAUGAAUUGUCACUUAAAUUGAGUACAGAGUUGAUUUGUUAUUUGCAUUUUUAAUAUAUUUUAUCUGUAUUAAUCUUUCAAAUGUUAAUAUUUAGUGCUAAAGGAUUCCCCUUAACUCUCUUGGAGUAGGCCCCCUCAAAAUUGUAGGCCCAUGUCAACUGGCCCCACUGCCUUCCCUGCACCCACCCCUUCUGACUUGUGCAUUGUCACCAUCAAGAAUUCCUCUGGCUCCUUCACAGUGUUGUUGAAUGUUUCAAUAGUGGAAUCGAAACAUGGAAAUUCUUUAAUUACAACAUGGCAACUAGCAAGUAAAUGCAAAUCAGAGAAUCUCCCAACCCACUGGCGACCCUUUUUCAAACAAUCAUCCCACCCAAUCACAAAAUAUUUAAAUUCCACAUGGCAUUUCAAUAAAGCAUCACUAGAACAUAUAUGCACAAACUAAAUAAAUAUUGGGGUUCCCUCUAUAACGACACUCAAGAAAGCAGAGAGGUUAUGCUUUUCAGGUACACUGAAAACAAAAGACAAAAAAUGGGGUUGGGCUAUGAUGGUACCAACCACAUCACAUUAAUGUCCUGCAUGUCAGGGAAACUCCUGAUUAUUUUGCCUAUGUGCAGAGGAAAUGCACCACAUAAAGUGACUCCCACAACAGCAAAAUCGUGCAGAAAAGACAAAAAUGUGGAAACUGAAGCCAAAUCCAAUCCUCUCAGUUUGACUAUUCAGGAAAUCAAGGAUAAGCAGAGCAUGCAGAAGAGGCCCUUAUCUCCUAGCAACAAAUUAGCUCUUCAGGCUAAGCUGGGACUUUUCAGUGCAUUCCUUGUAAGGGCUGACUCCUCCUUUCCCUCUUUUUCCUUUUAAAGUCUCCCAGAAAUCUGUGUUCCAACCUGCAUUCUGAGAAACAGGAGGCAGCAUGGGAGGAAACCUGUGACUGUGAGCAAGAAUCAAAGAGUCCCUGCUACUCUCUUGGAGGUAAGAGCGAUGAAGAGGAAACAGGGGAAGCUAGGAAAGAAAUCCGUGAAAGGCUUGAAGACAAAUUUGGGUUUGCCUCACAACAAUAUGGAAAAUGGCCCUAAAAACAACCCUGUUGCUUAGUGAUACUAUGUGUCAUAAAUAAUGGCAUGGAAAUCCCUGACCCGGAUGGUCCAAGCUAGCCCAAUCUCAUCAGAUGUUGGAAGCUAAAGCAGCACUAGCCCUGAUGGGUGCUAUGGGAGAUCACCAAGGGGGACUGGGGUUGUUUCACAGAAGGAGGUAAUGACAAACCAUCUCUGUUCAUCUCUGGCCUUGGAAACCCUUUCAGUCACCCUAAGUUGGCUGUGACUUAAUAGCACAUUCCUCCAACAAUCAUAAAAAAUAAAAUAUAAAUUUCUUCAGUGUUAACCAGUGUUAGAGACCUUCAUUUUAUUUUGAGGAGGGGGAAUACAUCACAGAAUUGCUUGGUAAGAGGGCCCCAAAUCAUAGCAUAUUAGAAGAACAUCCUAUUUUGAAAGGUUUGUAUACCAUUAGUACAUUGGGUGUGAUUCUAACAUACUACCACCUCUAUCUUUGAGGGACUGCAGAUAAUGCAAGGAGUCGGGGAAAUGGAGUUUAAUGGAGGCUGUUAACCUAAGUAGGCAGUCUCCACUUUUGUUGGGGGAAUUAGCUGGACACAAGGAGUGAGAGGGUAACAGGAAUCUAUAACCUAUGUAUACCAGGAUAGUCCUGGGUGAAAACUCUCAAAUGAGCAGGUGGUUAAUUAAUAAGAUUUUCAUUAAUAAUAAAAUAAUUAAAAAUG
Long non-coding RNA from Sphaerodactylus townsendi, 1864 nucleotides. RefSeq lists it as uncharacterized. The transcript is spliced from 2 exons. Lineage: Eukaryota; Metazoa; Chordata; Lepidosauria; Squamata; Sphaerodactylidae. The record is from RefSeq and is a predicted model, not a curated record.